Molecule: ribosomal RNA, 253 nt
Filed under: uncultured bacterium
Lineage: Bacteria
Description: partial 16S ribosomal RNA
Rfam family: Bacterial small subunit ribosomal RNA
Source: RNAcentral
UACGUAGGGCGCGAGCGUUGUCCGGAAUUAUUGGGCGUAAAGAGCUCGUAGGCGGCUUGUCACGUCGGGUGUGAAAGACCGGGGCUUAACUCCGGUUCUGCAUUCGAUACGGGCUAGCUAGAGUGUGGUAGGGGAGAUCGGAAUUCCUGGUGUAGCGGUGAGAUGCGCAGAUAUCAGGAGGAACACCGGUGGCGAAGGCGAAUCUCUGGACAGUUACUGACACUGAGGCACGAAGGCCAGGGGAGCAAACGGG